GAAUCAUAAUUAAUGAAAAUCCACAAAUGCCUGGUGUUUUUAUCGUGUUGUCUUUAUUUUUUAUCGAUUGCAUGACGAUCUUGCGGUAUAUCAUUGAUAAUUGUUCUAAGUAUUGGUUCAGAAUAAAAACUUAAUCCAUGGUGUCGCAAUGAACAUUGUGUUAACCUAGAAAGUAUGAAUAAGGUUGAGAUAUUUUACAAUGCUACACGCGUUGAAUUUAAGAGUAAGAUCAAAUAUCAGUAGUUUGUAGACAGGAUAAUAUUACAAGGUAGAACUAAAUGUACUGCGGCAAAUAUUACAUACAUAUAUGCAGGUAUAUAUUUUACAAUGAUACACGCUUUGAAUUUAAGAGUAAGAUCAAAUAUUAGUAGUUAAUAGCCAGCCUUGUAGCUAAGAUAAUAUUACAAGGUAGAACUAAAUGUACUGCGGCAACUAUCACAUACAUAUGCAGGUUGAAAAUAAUAUUUAUGUUAUAUGUUUAUAUUGUAUGAAUGUACUCAGAUUUAAAAGACCAGCACGCUGAGUUGAAGCAUAAAGAUCUAUAUUUUAAAUAUUACCCUGGCUACAAGCUAUGUAUGAAUACUGUUUGCUGAAGUCCUUUUGCUGAAAUUAAAAAAAAAAACAUUAUCAUCAGCACAUAGUAAACAAUGUGAAUUGCUGACCCCCAUAUUCCUUAGAAAGAAGUUUAAGGAUCCAUACUGUGAAGG
Molecule: long non-coding RNA, 707 nt
Filed under: Mytilus galloprovincialis (Mediterranean mussel)
Lineage: Eukaryota; Metazoa; Mollusca; Bivalvia; Mytilida; Mytilidae
Source: RNAcentral